UACGUAGGCAGCGAGCGUUGUUCGGAAUUACUGGGCGUAAAGAGUGUGUAGGCGGUGCUCUAAGUUCGGUGUGAAAUCUCCUGGCUCAACUGGGAGGGUGCGCCGGAAACUGGAGUGCUUGAGCGUGGGAGAGGAAAGCGGAAUUCCUGGUGUAGCGGUGAAAUGCGUAGAUAUCGUAAGGAAGACCAGUGGCGAAGGCGGGUCUCUGGACAGUUCCUGACGCUGAGGCACGAAGGUCAGGGGAGCAAACGGG
Molecule: ribosomal RNA, 253 nt
Filed under: uncultured bacterium
Lineage: Bacteria
Description: partial 16S ribosomal RNA
Rfam family: Bacterial small subunit ribosomal RNA
Source: RNAcentral